AGCAGCUGUCCAGCGUGGUUUCGUUUAAUGUGAGUCUCUCCGCGGCGUUCAAUGACACUGAGCGUAGAGGGUGGAGAGGAUUACAGAGCGCGCAAACGCAGCAGCAGAUGCGCUACAACCGUUGUGUUUUAAGCACAGCCACUGAGCCACUGCCCGCUGUAAGAAUCCAUCUCUGACUGGCUUGUGGUGUCAUCUGCGGAGGAGAAGACAGACAUGAUGAGCUGCAGAACAGACAAGACUUGAGACGACCCCAGGCUUCCUCAGAGCAGGGUCCAGCUCUCUAGUCUGCACACAGAUACAGCCUGAGGAGAAGUCCACACUGCCAGUAUGGUUCAUCUGCCCACUAGCUCUGUCUGAGAGAGGGGGGAGAGAAAAAGAUGGGGGGUUCAGCAAAAGAGAGCAACAUAUAAAAUAUUAUGGGAGAAAUAGAGUGAAAGACCG
This is a long non-coding RNA of Oncorhynchus keta (chum salmon), 441 nucleotides long. RefSeq lists it as uncharacterized. The transcript is spliced from 4 exons. NCBI's taxonomy places the organism in Eukaryota, Metazoa, Chordata, Actinopteri, Salmoniformes, Salmonidae. The record is from RefSeq and is a predicted model, not a curated record.